CUUGCGCGCACCGGCGGACGGCUCAGUAACACGUCGGUAACCUACCCUCGGGAGGGGGAUAACCCCGGGAAACUGGGGCUAAUCCCCCAUAGGCCUGAGGUACUGGAAGGUCCUCAGGCCGAAAGGGGCUUCGGCCCGCCCGAGGAUGGGCCGGCGGCCGAUUAGGUAGUUGGUGGGGUAACGGCCCACCAAGCCGAAGAUCGGUACGGGCCAUGAGAGUGGGAGCCCGGAGAUGGACACUGAGACACGGGUCCAGGCCCUACGGGGCGCAGCAGGCGCGAAACCUCCGCAAUGCGGGAAACCGCGACGGGGGGACCCCCAGUGCCGUGGCAUCGCCACGGCUUUUCCGGAGUGUAAAGAGCUCCGGGAAUAAGGGCUGGGCAAGGCCGGUGGCAGCCGCCGCGGUAAUACCGGCGGCCCGAGUGGUGGCCGCUAUUAUUGGGCCUAAAGCGUCCGUAG
This 459-nucleotide ribosomal RNA is filed under the name Thermococcus sp. CX1. Its description in RNAcentral is "bacterial SSU rRNA". It matches the Rfam family "Archaeal small subunit ribosomal RNA", at positions 68 to 524 of the family's 1478-position model. The record is from RNAcentral. Lineage: Archaea; Methanobacteriati; Methanobacteriota; Thermococci; Thermococcales; Thermococcaceae.